Oncorhynchus tshawytscha (Chinook salmon) is the source of this 997-nucleotide long non-coding RNA. RefSeq lists it as uncharacterized. The transcript is spliced from 3 exons. The record is from RefSeq and is a predicted model, not a curated record. Lineage: Eukaryota; Metazoa; Chordata; Actinopteri; Salmoniformes; Salmonidae.
GUCACUGAGCUCUUUAGUAAGGCCAUUCAACUGCCAUUGUUUGCCUAUGGACUUUGCUCUACGGGUGUGGCUGAAAUAGGGGUGUCCACAUACUUUUGUAUAUUUAGUGUGUAAUGGCUGUGUUUGUGUGUUCAUUUCUUCAAUGUCUUCAGAUCAUAGGGGACUCUGUUAUGAGGAGAUUACAGCUGAACUGAUGCCCCCCACCAUGUUGCCUGAGCUGCAGCUCCUCAAUAAGGUCAAAUGAAAUGUAAACAUGCUACAAAGUCAUUCUGCUAAGCAGGAUGGUCCAUGUUAAAAUGGAGAUUUGUUAGAAAGUGAGUAAUGCAAUGUGUCCAUGUAUGCAAUUGAUACGUUUUUCUCCCUUCCUCUUUACAAUACAGUACAGAGAAAGGGCAGUUAGGAUGAUCAAACUCCGCUAUUUCAAGAAAAUCAUAGGAUCUUUUUCCUAUUGUUUUCAAACUAAAUGUUUAAAGAUGAAUGGCUGACCUACUUGUUUUAAUGCGGUUACAGAUUCAAGUAAAAGGACCAUUGAUACUGGAAACUGUCCAUAGACCUGAAGUAAAGGAACUCCACAUCUUGAGUCCAUUCUGUCUAGAGAUGGGGUUCUGUAUCUGAAGCUAGGGCCCUAUAAGGUCGACCUUCUGGACUGGAAUGAUCUAUUAUCCCCCGUCGUCGUCAACAGGAGCUCAGAAGUCCGCACAUUCAAGGAAGUUCAUCGUUCCCUGAGCUCCUGUUGAAGUUGUCAGCUGUGCAUCCCUGUACAAGCCUUGCUGCGCCUGGGCCCUCUCCUCAUGGGGACUGCAAGCUUCAGGACUGGACAACAGGCCUGUUGAAAUUACCUGACCUUUGACCUCUAACCAUGGUCUCCUACUUUACCUUGGUCUUGACCCAGAAGGGUCCCUCUGCCUGCACUGCUUGUUGCAGCUCACAAGAAAUGGACCUGAUAUUAUAUUAAAUAUCAUUGUAAAAGCUUUCUUGAUACAGAUUGUAUGUCAAA